This 323-nucleotide RNase P RNA is filed under the name Pedobacter sp. RNAcentral's name for it is "RNase P RNA component class A". It matches the Rfam family "Bacterial RNase P class A". From Rfam's summary of the family: Ribonuclease P (RNase P) is a ubiquitous endoribonuclease, found in archaea, bacteria and eukarya as well as chloroplasts and mitochondria. Its best characterised activity is the generation of mature 5'-ends of tRNAs by cleaving the 5'-leader elements of precursor-tRNAs. Lineage: Bacteria; Pseudomonadati; Bacteroidota; Sphingobacteriia; Sphingobacteriales; Sphingobacteriaceae. The record is from RNAcentral.
AACGCAGAUCGCCUUAUCGACGCGUCUUUAAUGACGGGUAGGAAAGUCCGGACACCACAGAGUAGCAUAGCGGAUAACAUCCGUCGGUUUCGUCUUUACGGACGGGAUUAGGACAAGUGCAACAGAAAGUAUGUACAGGUAAUGCUGUAGUGAAACCAGGUAAACUCUAUGCGGUGAAAUUUCAAGUAUAUCAGCAUUUAAGGGUUACUCGCCCGUUGCUGAAGGGUAGAAAGAUGGACCUCGUUAGUAAUAUCGAGGCUAGAUAAAUGAUAAGGCCUUAUAAUUUAUAAGGACAGAAUCCGGCUUAUAGAUCUGCAUUUUUU